GAGAUAGACCGCCUCAAGCGUCGGAGGGCGGAGCUUGCCAAGGAGAUGGAGCAAGUGACCAAGACAAUCAAUGCCGAAGACAAAAAGCUCCAAGAGCUACCUUCUGUCAUUGCCGAUUUGACACGGGAGAGGCAGCGCUUUGCUCACGAGGCCCUAAGACUCCACCGCAGCGCAUCAGAGGUCCCCGGAUCGGCGGAUGAAAACCAACGGGUCCUUGACUCUGCCGAUCAGAUCCGGCGUCGGGCAAUCACGGCUAUCGAUACCCUGCUGGGUAAUCUGUA
Molecule: long non-coding RNA, 281 nt
Filed under: Setaria italica (foxtail millet)
Lineage: Eukaryota; Viridiplantae; Streptophyta; Magnoliopsida; Poales; Poaceae
Description: long non-coding RNA (SITA_LNC003505)
Source: RNAcentral